This 200-nucleotide long non-coding RNA is filed under the name Malus domestica (apple). Its description in RNAcentral is "long non-coding RNA (MDOM_LNC017465)". The record is from RNAcentral. Lineage: Eukaryota; Viridiplantae; Streptophyta; Magnoliopsida; Rosales; Rosaceae.
GCAGUGGAAGUGUGGUAGACUUCGGGCGUGAGAUUCGAGUUGGGAAAUGUUAAAUACGAAGAAAAAUAUUAUGAAAAUGCUCCCGGUUCGAUCGUCGGUCCAGAAAUUUGAAACCAGGACAGUUGAACUAAUCUUGGAUCGAUUUAGGCUACUUGGAAGGCCAUGGGAGUAGACUGGGUCGUGGAAGCAAGUUGGGCCAC